RNAcentral lists this ribosomal RNA (1481 nucleotides) under uncultured Bordetella sp. RNAcentral's name for it is "partial 16S-23S ribosomal RNA intergenic spacer". It matches the Rfam family "Bacterial small subunit ribosomal RNA". The record is from RNAcentral. Lineage: Bacteria; Pseudomonadati; Pseudomonadota; Betaproteobacteria; Burkholderiales; Alcaligenaceae.
GGUUCGAUUAAGUGGUCAGAUUGAACGCUGGCGGGAUGGUUUACGUUACUGCAAGUCGAACGGCAGCACGGACUUCGGUCUGGUGGCGAGCGGCGAACGGGUGAGUACGUAUCGGAACGUGCCCGGUAGCGGUGGAGUUAACUACGCGAAAGCGUAGCUAAUAUCGCAUAAUGCCCUUUCUGGGGAAAGUGGGGACCUCUCGGGCCUCGCACUAUUAGAGCGGCUGAUAUCGAUUAAAGCUUAGUUGCGGGCAACGGCCCACCAAGGCGACGAUCCGUAGCUGGUUUGAGAGGACGACCAGCCACACUGGGACUGAGACACGGCCAGACUCCCACGGGAGGCAGCAGUGGGAAUUUUUGGACAAUGGGGAAACUCCUGAUCCAGCCAUCCUGCGUGUGCGAUGAAGGCCUUCGGGUUGCAGCACUUUUGCAGGAAAGAAAACGCACGGGAUAAUACCCCGUGCAAACUGAUGGUACCUGCAGAAUAAGCACCGGCUAACUGUGCCAGCAGCCGCGGUAAUACGUAGGUGCAAGCGUUAAUCGGAAUUUGCCUGGGCGUAAAAGCGCAGGCGGUUCGAAAGAAAGACACGUGGAAAUCCCAGAGCUUAACUUUGGAACUGCAUUUUUAACUACCGAGCCAGAGUGUCAGAGGGAGGUGGAAUUCGCGUGGCAGGAAAUGCGUGAGGCGUGCGGAGGAACACUGAUGGCGAAGGCAGUUCUCCUGGGAUAACACUGACGGCUCAUGCACGAAAGCGUGGGGAGCAAACAGACGAUACUCCUGGUAGUCCACGCCUAAACGAUGUCAACUAGGGCUGUUGGGGCCUUCGGGAAUCGGUAGCGCAGCUAACGGGUGAAGUUGACCGCCUGGGGAGUACGGUCGCAAGAUUAAACUCAAAGGAAUUGACGGGACCCGCACAAGCGGUGGGAUGAUGUGGAUUAAUUCGAUGUGCAACGCGAAAAACCUUACCUACCCUUGACAUGUCUGGAAUCCCGAAGAGAUUUGGGAGUGCUCGCAAGAGAACCGGAACACAGGUGCUGCAUGGCUGUCGUCAGCUCGUGUCGUGAGAUGUUGGGUUAAGUCCCGCAACGAGCGCAACCCUUAUCGCCAGUUGCUACGAAAGGGCACUCUAAUGAGACUGCCGGCACAAAACCGAGGAAGGUGGGGAUGACGUCAAGUCCUCAUGGCCCUUGCGGUAGGGCUUCACACGUCAUACAAUGGUCGGGACAGAGGGUCGCCAACCCGCGAGGGGGAGCCAAUCCCAGAAACCCGAUCAGUCCGGAUCGCAGUCUGUAACCUGACUACUGCGUGAAGUCGGAAUCGCUAGUAAUCGCGGAUCAGCAUGUCGCGGUGAAUACGUUCCCGGGUCUUGUACACACCGCCCGUCACACCAUGGGAGUGGGUUUUACCAGAAGUAGUUAGCCUAACCGUAAGGAGGCGAUUACCACGGUAGGAUUCAUGACUGGGGUGAAGUCUGAUCAUAA